AGAAUCAACGCUGGCGGCGUGCCUAACACAUGCAAGUCGAACGAGAAAGUGGAGCAAUCCAUGAGUAAAGUGGCGCACGGGUGAGUAACACGUGACUAACCUACCCUGGAGUGGGGGAUAACUGAGGGAAACCUUAGCUAAUACCGCAUAAUACCUACGGGUCAAAGGAGCAAUUCGCUUCAGGAGGGGGUCGCGGCCGAUUAGUUAGUUGGCGGGUAAUGGCCCACCAAGACAGUGAUCGGUA
RNAcentral lists this ribosomal RNA (244 nucleotides) under uncultured bacterium. RNAcentral describes it as "partial small subunit ribosomal RNA". It matches the Rfam family "Bacterial small subunit ribosomal RNA", at positions 26 to 285 of the family's 1533-position model. The record is from RNAcentral.